GAUGAACGCUGGCGGCGUGCCUAAUACAUGCAAGUCGAGCGAACGGACGAGAAGCUUGCUUCUCUGAUGUUAGCGGCGGACGGGUGAGUAACACGUGGAUAACCUACCUAUAAGACUGGGAUAACUUCGGGAAACCGUAGCUAAUACCGGAUAAUAUUUUGAACCGCAUGGUUCAAAAGUGAAAGACGGUCUUGCUGUCACUUAUAGAUGGAUCCGCGCUGCAUUAGCUAGUUGGUAAGGUAACGGCUUACCAAGGCAACGAUGCAUAGCCGACCUGAGAGGGUGGUCGGCCACACUGGAACUGAGACACGGUCCAGACUCCUACGGGAGGCAGCAGUAGGGAAUCUUGCGAAAUGGGCGAAAGACUGACGGAGCAACGCCGCGUGAGCGAUGAAGGUCUUCGGAUCGGAAAACUCUGUUAUUAGGGAAGAACAUAUGUGUAAGUAACUGUGCACAUCUUGACGGUACCUAAGCAGAAAGCCACGGCUAACUACGUGC
Molecule: ribosomal RNA, 498 nt
Filed under: uncultured bacterium
Lineage: Bacteria
Description: partial 16S ribosomal RNA
Rfam family: Bacterial small subunit ribosomal RNA
Source: RNAcentral